AGGACUGAGCAUGCUCAGUGAAUCCCUGGAGCUCUUCAAAUGUCAGGGAUAUUUUCUGUACAAGAUCAGGCUCUAAAUGCACUAAGUGUUUGAAAGAAAGAGAAGGAGGAGGUGGAGAGCCUGCACAGAAGGGGCCUGUGCAGCAGGGGCCAUGUCAGAGCCGCUCUGACAGGAAGCAGCGCUGCCACUGCGAGCGGGAAGCGAGGGCGGCACGGCCGCCGGGAGGCCUCCAUGCAGGCAGCGGCCCGACUGCGGCACCACCACAGCACAGCGCGGCCAUCUCUUCACAUUCGUUAGCUCUCUUGCUCUUUUGCUGUAUUUCCAAGCACGACCUCAGACAUUGUCCUGUACCGUUGCAGUGAAAAAUAAUGCUAUGUAAGAGUGGCAGAGCAGAACAGCAGCUGUGGUCUGACACAGGCAGCUGGUUAGGGAAACGUGACACUGAGGGUUUACCUGUGUCCGUGCUCACACGCACCGCUACUGUUCAAUCAGUACAUCACUACAUUUGAUUCCUUUCAGGUAUAUUAGUUGUCAAAAAUUGUUUGGAUUGUUAGAAAUUGCUGCAGCUCCACGUGAAGUGGCGCAGAUGAUGGAGGUUUCUACAGCAGUUGGUCUCAUCCCAGGAUGCAGUCAGCCCUUCUGCAGUUCUAACCUUGACCACAAAGGCUGGCGCUGCUUGUACAGAUGUGCAUGACUCAUCCGGAGAGGGCAGAACAUCUGCAUAGAGGUAAGCAUGUGCUAACCUAGCAGGCAUCGGCUUGCACUUCCUGUGGCUAAUCAACACCUGAAGGCUGAUCUGACAGAAAUAGAGAAAUAAAUUCCAGAGAAUUUUAGUCUAAGACAAACAAAAAGGCUAAUGGCGUCCUGAUCUUGCCUCUGCCUCUCUCUCCUCUUUGAACUGGAUGGUAAUUCUUCCCUGCCUUCCUGGGAAGGAGAAUUUUAAUGGUACACAGGAGAGCACACAGUCAGUGAGAAUCAAUAACAAACUUUAAUUUCCACUUUGGGAAUUCCUCUGCUUUGUUAGUGCAUUACAGAAGCAUUUUGCCACAGCAUUUUGAAAAGCACUACUGGAACACUCUGGCUAUUUCAGGGAGACGAGGUAAUUCAAGUGAAGUUACUACUGAUAAAUAGGAGUAAGAAAUUUAUCUCCAAGGAACAUUUUCCAGAGCUCAAAUAAAGUUUCUCCUUCCUUCAAACAUGAGAAACAGUCCUGCGAGCUAUCUGCCUACAUACUCCAUUUGAAGGAGGAUGUCCACUGAAGAAUGCUGAAUUUGAUACUUCAGGAAAUAAGCUACCUAAAAGAAAAUCUGCAUUACUGAGGAGAUGAAGAAUACAGUGGCAGAUCUACAGAAGUUGGGAGAAGCAAAUGGCAUAGCAGACUCAGCAUCUAAACUCCAUAUACCUUCCCUGGACCAGCUUAUGUUUGGUUAAAUGGGCCGAUACCCCUUCGCAGCUGGAGCACAUAAGGAGCACUCCUGGUGAACCUCCAUCAGCUUCUCAUCUGAACAGAAUCUAGCUUAUGGCCAAGAACACUCCGACACAGACCAAGGACAAUCAGGAGAUGCAUUGUUGAAAGCAAAUGCUUGACGCAGCAAGAGCCCUGUUACUGACAUAACCAGGGUGACUAAGCGCUGAUGAGCAGAAGACAGCAUUUUUGAGACUUAAAAUCUUGUCAAACAUGUCCUUUCAACAACAUACAGGGCACAUACAUUAUUGAAUCACUUACUGGUUCCUAAAUACUGGUGGAACUCUUCUACUAUAAAAAUAUAUAAAUCUCAUCGAUUUAAGCAAUAACAGGAAUCUUAUUAAAAAGUUAAUCUAUACUUGUAUAUCAAUUACCUGAAUGUAGGAAAAAUUGGCAAUUCCUGCAUAUAUCACAUCCAUAAUACUAGAUUUGACAGUAAGAGUUUACAUGAUUCUUACAGCAUUUAAAAAUAUAGAGCGGCUUCAGAACAAACGGUUUCAAGAAGCUACCUACAAUGGAGCAUUCUUAUCUGCCUUCUCUCUGAUGUCCUCAACCCUGACUAGUCUUUCUACCUGUCUGUCAUAGCUCUCACCUCCUGCUUGCCUCUUCUCUCAUUCUUGCUACUGUCUUAGGCAGUAGUACUGAAGAGCCCACAAAAACAGCCUUGGUUCACACUCCAUGCUACACACCAUUUUUCAAAGGAAAAACGUACAGCGCUCGCUGACACUGUAGAAGAAAGAUCUGGAAUCUGCUCACUUGGACACAUGACUCAAAUUUCAUUCUUGAUGAUCAUCAGCACAGAGCACCAUUUUGACAGUGACCAAUUUUGCAACUUAAGAGAAAAAAACAGAGUCUUAAUAGAACAGUAACUAACUGAUGUAGAACACCACCCAUUUGACUCCCAUUUCUGCAUGGACAACAAUAGAUGUUACAGAUCCUGAGGUUGGGAAGGCUUUUAUGUUCUAUCACCUAGUUGAUAUGUCAACAUCCUUAAUGAAAGAGGUUGGAGGAGUAAAGCAAGAGUACUUCAGAUACAGGCUCUACCUUUUCCAUUCAACUAAAAGAGACUCUAGCUAGCAGCUGCUAGGUGGCGAUGUGCCUGAAGGAAAAAAUAAUACUAUUCCUUUUCCUCCUUUUCCUGAUAUUCAGUUGCAGAGUUGCUGCACUUAACACCAACAU
Gallus gallus (chicken) is the source of this 2644-nucleotide long non-coding RNA. RefSeq lists it as uncharacterized. The transcript has 2 exons. The record is from RefSeq and is a predicted model, not a curated record. NCBI's taxonomy places the organism in Eukaryota, Metazoa, Chordata, Aves, Galliformes, Phasianidae.